GAUGAACGCUGGCGGCGUGCCUAAUACAUGCAAGUCGAGCGAACAGACGAGGAGCUUGCUCCUCUGACGUUAGUGGCGGACGGGUGAGUAACACGUGGAUAACCUACCUAUAAGACUGGGAUAACUUCGGGAAACCGGAGCUAAUACCGGAUAAUAUAUUGAACCGCAUGGUUCAAUAGUGAAAGACGGUUUUGCUGUCACUUAUAGAUGGAUCCGCGCCGCAUUAGCUAGUUGGUAAGGUAACGGCUUACCAAGGCGACGAUGCGUAGCCGACCUGAGAGGGUGAUCGGCCACACUGGAACUGAGACACGGUCCAGACUCCUACGGGAGGCAGCAGUAGGGAAUCUUCCGCAAAGGGCGAAAGCUUGACGGAGCAACGCCGCGUGAGUGAUGAAGGUCUUCGGAUCGUAAAACUCUGUUAUUAGGGAAGAACAAAUGUGUAAGUAACUAUGCACGUCUUGACGGUACCUAAUCAGAAAGCCACGGCUAACUACGUG
RNAcentral lists this ribosomal RNA (497 nucleotides) under uncultured bacterium. Its description in RNAcentral is "partial 16S ribosomal RNA". It matches the Rfam family "Bacterial small subunit ribosomal RNA", at positions 28 to 507 of the family's 1533-position model. The record is from RNAcentral.